RNAcentral lists this unclassified non-coding RNA (374 nucleotides) under soil metagenome. Its description in RNAcentral is "partial internal transcribed spacer 1". The stretch from base 1 to 120 matches the Rfam family "5.8S ribosomal RNA", at positions 35 to 154 of the family's 154-position model. The record is from RNAcentral.
GAUGAAGAACGCAGCGAAAUGUGAUAAUUAAUGUGAAUUGCAGAAUUCCGUGAAUCAUCGAGUCUUUGAACGCACAUUGCGCCUCAUGGCAUUCCGUGAGGCAUGCCCAUCUCAGCGUUAGAAAAUAUUCUCAAAUUUUAGUUUUGUGCUAAAAUUUGGAUCAUGUCAAGGAAGCUAUUACUAUUAUUGUGAUCGCUCUUUGGAAAUUGAUAGGUCUUUGAGUUGCUACUCAUAGAACGUGAUGAAUCUUUCUUCGUUCUAUUGUAAUUCACUCUGGUAGUCCUAAAACUUGUAUGCCUGUGGCAUAUCUUGUAAUUUGACCUGAGAUUGGGCAGGGAUACCCGCUGAACUUAAGCAUAUCAAUAAGCGGAGGA